Molecule: ribosomal RNA, 735 nt
Filed under: bacterium AUBT-3
Lineage: Bacteria
Description: bacterial SSU rRNA
Rfam family: Bacterial small subunit ribosomal RNA
Source: RNAcentral
CUAAUACCGGAUAACAUAUUGAACCGCAUGGUUCAAUAGUGAAAGGCGGCUUUGCUGUCACUUAUAGAUGGAUCCGCGCCGUAUUAGCUAGUUGGUAAGGUAACGGCUUACCAAGGCAACGAUACGUAGCCGACCUGAGAGGGUGAUCGGCCACACUGGAACUGAGACACGGUCCAGACUCCUACGGGAGGCAGCAGUAGGGAAUCUUCCGCAAUGGGCGAAAGCCUGACGGAGCAACGCCGCGUGAGUGAUGAAGGUCUUCGGAUCGUAAAACUCUGUUAUCAGGGAAGAACAAAUGUGUAAGUAACUGUGCACAUCUUGACGGUACCUGAUCAGAAAGCCACGGCUAACUACGUGCCAGCAGCCGCGGUAAUACGUAGGUGGCAAGCGUUAUCCGGAAUUAUUGGGCGUAAAGCGCGCGUAGGCGGUUUUUUAAGUCUGAUGUGAAAGCCCACGGCUCAACCGUGGAGGGUCAUUGGAAACUGGAAAACUUGAGUGCAGAAGAGGAAAGUGGAAUUCCAUGUGUAGCGGUGAAAUGCGCAGAGAUAUGGAGGAACACCAGUGGCGAAGGCGACUUUCUGGUCUGUAACUGACGCUGAUGUGCGAAAGCGUGGGGAUCAAACAGGAUUAGAUACCCUGGUAGUCCACGCCGUAAACGAUGAGUGCUAAGUGUUAGGGGGUUUCCGCCCCUUAGUGCUGCAGCUAACGCAUUAAGCACUCCGCCUGGGGAGUACG